GAUGAGCGCUAGCUACAGGCUUAACACAUGCAAGUCGAGGGGUAACGAGAGGAAAGCUUGCUUUCCUUGUCGACGACCGGCGCACGGGUGAGUAACGCGUAUCCAACCUGCCCCCAACUAGGGAAUAACCUUGCGAAAGUAAGACUAAUACCCUAUAAUUUCCUCAGAUGCCAUCUGACGAGGAAUAAAGAUUUAUCGGUUGUGGAUGGGGAUGCGUCUGAUUAGCUUGUUGGCGGGGUAACGGCCCACCAAGGCAACGAUCAGUAGGGGUUCUGAGAGGAAGGUCCUCCACAUUGGAACUGAGACACGGUCCAAACUCCUACGGGAGGCAGCAGUGAGGAAUAUUGGUCAAUGGCGGAAGCCUGAACCAGCCAAGUAGCGUGCAGGAUGACGGCCCUAUGGGUUGUAAACUGCUUUUAUACAGGAAUAAAGUUAGCCACGUGUGGUUAUUUGUAGGUACUGUAUGAAUAAGGACCGGCUAAUUCCGUGCCAGCCGCCGCCGUAA
This 505-nucleotide ribosomal RNA is filed under the name uncultured bacterium. RNAcentral describes it as "partial 16S ribosomal RNA". It matches the Rfam family "Bacterial small subunit ribosomal RNA", at positions 28 to 523 of the family's 1533-position model. The record is from RNAcentral.